UCCUACGGGAGGCAGCAGUGGGGAAUUUUGGACAAUGGGCGAAAGCCUGAUCCAGCAAUGCCGCGUGUGUGAAGAAGGCCUUCGGGUUGUAAAGCACUUUUGUCCGGAAAGAAAUCCUUGGCUCUAAUACAGUCGGGGGAUGACGGUACCGGAAGAAUAAGCACCGGCUAACUACGUGCCAGCAGCCGCGGUAAUACGUAGGGUGCGAGCGUUAAUCGGAAUUACUGGGCGUAAAGCGUGCGCAGGCGGUUUGCUAAGACCGAUGUGAAAUCCCCGGGCUCAACCUGGGAACUGCAUUGGUGACUGGCAGGCUAGAGUAUGGCAGAGGGGGGUAGAAUUCCACGUGUAGCAGUGAAAUGCGUAGAGAUGUGGAGGAAUACCGAUGGCGAAGGCAGCCCCCUGGGCCAAUACUGACGCUCAUGCACGAAAGCGUGGGGAGCAAACAGGAUUAGAUACCCUGGUAGUCCACGCCCUAAACGAUGUCAACUAGUUGUUGGGGAUUCAUUUCCUUAGUAACGUAGCUAACGCGUGAAGUUGACCGCCUGGGGAGUACGGUCGCAAGAUUAAAACUCAAAGGAAUUGACGGGGACCCGCACAAGCGGUGGAUGAUGUGGAUUAAUUCGAUGCAACGCGAAAAACCUUACCUACCCUUGACAUGGUCGGAAUCCUGCUGAGAGGUGGGAGUGCUCGAAAGAGAACCGGCGCACAGGUGCUGCAUGGCUGUCGUCAGCUCGUGUCGUGAGAUGUUGGGUUAAGUCCCGCAACGAGCGCAACCCUUGUCCUUAGUUGCUACGCAAGAGCACUCUAAGGAGACUGCCGGUGACAAACCGGAGGAAGGUGGGGAUGACGUCAAGUCCUCAUGGCCCUUAUGGGUAGGGCUUCACACGUCAUACAAUGGUCGGAACAGAGGGUUGCCAACCCGCGAGGGGGAGCUAAUCCCAGAAAACCGAUCGUAGUCCGGAUUGCACUCUGCAACUCGAGUGCAUGAAGCUGGAAUCGCUAGUAAUCGCGGAUCAGCAUGCCGCGG
This 1027-nucleotide ribosomal RNA is filed under the name uncultured Burkholderia sp. RNAcentral describes it as "bacterial SSU rRNA". It matches the Rfam family "Bacterial small subunit ribosomal RNA", at positions 337 to 1362 of the family's 1533-position model. The record is from RNAcentral. Lineage: Bacteria; Pseudomonadati; Pseudomonadota; Betaproteobacteria; Burkholderiales; Burkholderiaceae.